CGAACGCUGGCGGCGUGCCUAAUACAUGCAAGUAGACCGCUGAAGAGAGGAGCUUGCUCUUCUUGGAUGAGUUGCGAACGGGUGAGUAACGCGUAGGUAACCUGCCUUGUAGCGGGGGAUAACUAUUGGAAACGAUAGCUAAUACCGCAUAACAAUGGAUGACACAUGUCAUUUAUUUGAAAGGGGCAAUUGCUCCACUACAAGAUGGACCUGCGUUGUAUUAGCUAGUAGGUGAGGUAACGGCUCACCUAGGCGACGAUACAUAGCCGACCUGAGAGGGUGAUCGGCCCCACUGGGACUGUGAAACGGCCCAGACUCCUACGGGAGGCGGCAGUAGGGAAUCUUCGGCAAGGGGGGCAACCCUGACCGAGCAACGCCGCGUGAGUGAAGAAGGUUUUCGGAUCGUAAAGCUCUGUUGUAAGUCAAGAACGAGUGUGAGAGUGGAAAGUUCACACUGUGACGGUAGCUUACCAGAAAGGGACGGCUAACUACGUG
RNAcentral lists this ribosomal RNA (495 nucleotides) under uncultured bacterium. RNAcentral's name for it is "partial 16S ribosomal RNA". It matches the Rfam family "Bacterial small subunit ribosomal RNA", at positions 30 to 507 of the family's 1533-position model. The record is from RNAcentral.